AGUGGGGAAUAUUGGACAAUGGGCGCAAGCCUGAUCCAGCAAUGCCGCGUGAGUGAUGAAGGCCCUAGGGUUGUAAAGCUCUUUUACCCGGGAAGAUAAUGACUGUACCGGGAGAAUAAGCCCCGGCUAACUCCGUGCCAGCAGCCGCGGUAAUACGGAGGGGGCUAGCGUUGUUCGGAAUUACUGGGCGUAAAGCGCACGUAGGCGGCUUUGUAAGUCAGAGGUGAAAGCCUGGAGCUCAACUCCAGAACUGCCUUUGAGACUGCAUCGCUUGAAUCCAGGAGAGGUCAGUGGAAUUCCGAGUGUAGAGGUGAAAUUCGUAGAUAUUCGGAAGAACACCAGUGGCGAAGGCGGCUGACUGGACUGGUAUUGACGCUGAGGUGCGAAAGCGUGGGGAGCAAA
RNAcentral lists this ribosomal RNA (402 nucleotides) under uncultured Sphingomonas sp. RNAcentral's name for it is "bacterial SSU rRNA". It matches the Rfam family "Bacterial small subunit ribosomal RNA", at positions 353 to 772 of the family's 1533-position model. The record is from RNAcentral. Lineage: Bacteria; Pseudomonadati; Pseudomonadota; Alphaproteobacteria; Sphingomonadales; Sphingomonadaceae.